RNAcentral lists this ribosomal RNA (466 nucleotides) under uncultured bacterium. Its description in RNAcentral is "partial 16S ribosomal RNA". It matches the Rfam family "Bacterial small subunit ribosomal RNA", at positions 28 to 507 of the family's 1533-position model. The record is from RNAcentral.
GACGAACGCUGGCGGCGCGCCUAACACAUGCGAGUCGAACGAGCGAGCGAGAGCUUGCUUUCUUGAGCGAGUGGCGAACGGGUGAGUAACGCGUGAGGAACCUGCCUCAAAGAGGGGGACAACAGUUGGAAACGACUGCUAAUACCGCAUAAGCCCACGACCCGGCAUCGGGUUGAGGGAAAAGGAGCAAUCCGCUUUGAGAUGGCCUCGCGUCCGAUUAGCUAGUUGGUGAGGUAACGGCCCACCAAGGCGACGAUCGGUAGCCGGACUGAGAGGUUGAACGGCCACAGUGGGACUGAGACACGGCCCAGACUCCUACGGGAGGCAGCAGUGGGGAAUAUUGCACAAUGGGGGAAACCCUGAUGCAGCGACGCCGCGUGGAGGAAGAAGGUCUUCGGAUUGUAAACUCCUGUUGUGGAGGAAGAUAAUGACGGUACUCAACAAGGAAGUGACGGCUAACUACGUG